RNAcentral lists this ribosomal RNA (492 nucleotides) under uncultured bacterium. RNAcentral describes it as "partial 16S ribosomal RNA". It matches the Rfam family "Bacterial small subunit ribosomal RNA", at positions 28 to 507 of the family's 1533-position model. The record is from RNAcentral.
GACGAACGCUGGCGGCGUGCUUAACACAUGCAAGUCGAACGGAAAGGCCCCCACUUUUUUGGUGGGGGUGCUCGAGUGGCGAACGGGUGAGUAACACGUGGGUGAUCUGCCCUGUACUUCGGGAUAAGCUUGGGAAACUGGGUCUAAUACCGGAUAGGACCAUGGUUUAGUGUCUCAUGGUGGAAAAAUUAUUGUUUUGGUGCAGGAUGAGCUCGCGGCCUAUCAGCUUGUUGGUGGGGUAAUGGCCUACCAAGGCGUCGACGGGUAGCCGGCCUGAGAGGGUGGACGGCCACAGUGGGACUGAGAUACGGCCCAGACGCCUACGGGAGGCAGCAGUGGGGAAUAUUGCACAAUGGGCGCAAGCCUGAUGCAGCGACGCCGCGUGGGGGAUGACGGCCUUCGGGUUGUAAACUCCUUUCGUUAGGGACGAAGCCGCACCUUUUUUGGGUGUGGUGACGGUACCUUUGUUAAGAAGCACCGGCUAACUACGUG